UCAGGCCUAACACAUGCAAGUCGAGCGGAAACGGGUUAACUGAACCUUCGGGGGACGUUAACGGCGUCGAGCGGCGGACGGGUGAGUAAUGCCUGGGAAAUUGCCCUGAUGUGGGGGAUAACCAUUGGAAACGAUGGCUAAUACCGCAUAAUAGCUUCGGCUCAAAGAGGGGGACCUUCGGGCCUCUCGCGUCAGGAUAUGCCCAGGUGGGAUUAGCUAGUUGGUGAGGUAAGGGCUCACCAAGGCGACGAUCCCUAGCUGGUCUGAGAGGAUGAUCAGCCACACUGGAACUGAGACACGGUCCAGACUCCUACGGGAGGCAGCAGUGGGGAAUAUUGCACAAUGGGCGCAAGCCUGAUGCAGCCAUGCCGCGUGUAUGAAGAAGGCCUUCGGGUUGUAAAGUACUUUCAGCAGUGAGGAAGGUGGUAGUGUUAAUAGCACUAUCAUUUGACGUUAGCUGCAGAAGAAGCACCGGCUAACUCCGUGCCAGUAGCCGCGGUAAUACGGAGGGUGCGAGCGUUAAUCGGAAUUACUGGGCGUAAAGCGCAUGCAGGUGGUUUGUUAAGUCAGAUGUGAAAGCCCGGGGCUCAACCUCGGAAUUGCAUUUGAAACUGGCAGACUAGAGUACUGUAGAGGGGGGUAGAAUUUCA
Molecule: ribosomal RNA, 650 nt
Filed under: uncultured bacterium
Lineage: Bacteria
Description: bacterial SSU rRNA
Rfam family: Bacterial small subunit ribosomal RNA
Source: RNAcentral